GAUCAUGGCUCAGGAUUAACGCUGGCGGCAUGCCUAAUACAUGCAAGUCGAAUGGGGAGCUGCUCCCAUGGCGAACGGGUGAGUAAUACGUAGGUAACCUACCUUUAGGACGAGGAUAACCUUUGGAAACGAAGGAUAAUACUGGAUAGUAUAGAUUUCCGCAUGGAGAUAUAUUUAAAGAUUUAUCACCUAGAGAGGGGGCCUGCGGUGCAUUAGCUAGUUGGCGGGAUAAAAGCCCACCAAGGCGAUGAUGCAUAGCCGGACUGAGAGGUUGUACGGCCACAAUGGAACUGAGAACGGUCCAUACUCCUACGGGAGGCAGCAGUAGGGAAUUUUCGGCAAUGGGCGGAAGCCUGACCGAGCAAAAUGCCGCGUGAAUGAUGAAGUAUUUCGGUAUGUAAAGUUCUUUUAUCUAGGAAGAAAAAACAAAUUGACGGUACUAGAUGAAUAAGCUCCGGCUAACUACGUGCCAGCAGCAGC
Molecule: ribosomal RNA, 480 nt
Filed under: uncultured bacterium
Lineage: Bacteria
Description: bacterial SSU rRNA
Rfam family: Bacterial small subunit ribosomal RNA
Source: RNAcentral